GCCGUGCCCCAACCACCGCCGUCCGUCCCCCAGCCCGACGCCGCCCCAUCUCCUCGUCCCAUUCUCCAGCCUCGGGGUCCUUAGCUCCGGCGCCACCGUCCAGCCCCAGCGCCCCCUUCUCCAGCUCCGCCGUCCGUCCCUGUCUUCCCCUGCAUACCAAGUCCUGGUAUACAUCUCCGGCUGUGUUGCGUCUCUGGUGUCUGUCCCCUGCUCUUGAUGUCCUGAGAUGUGGCGCUUCCGUCGGCCGCCACCAACCAACCACCAUGUAGUACGCUGAGCCGCUGGACUGCACCAUUGGCCGUCGCCACCGCCCACCAGUGUGUCUAAUUUGGUGACAUCGCAAAGCACAGCAGAGCCGGAACUGAACCUGGAACCUGAAGCCCUUCUUCACACUUCAAAUACGGAGUCCUUUAUAGUCUUGUUCGAGCGAACUGAACUUGGUGUCGAAACCCGAAGCUUUCUCAGUAUACAGUUUGAUUUCUUUUGUGCAUUUUCUGGGAUAUGGAGCCGUGUAACUCGAGCCUUCUGAUCCAAGAGAAGAGACACUCAGGCUGGUCCAAACUCUGUUAAUCAUUUCAAGUCUUCGUUGUGUGCAUUGGAGAGUUCAAUUUGAUCCGGAGAGAGUAUUGUUCAUCCGUCGGGUUGCUUUUGCCCAGGUGCGAUACAGAAAGUAGAGAUCAGAACUGAAGUUGGUCCCUGGAAAGCUCUGAAUCCUGAGUGCCAUGGAAGAAGAACGGAAUGGGUUUGCAGCAAACUGAGACAAGCCUCCCCCUGUCCUCUGGAAAAACAGCCAACCUUCGUUUCAAAACAGAGAAAAGUUGAGGAGAAUAUCAUGAAGUUAGCAUCUGUAAUUCUAGACAGCUCGAGAAAACAGGAGGCGGGAAAAAAGACACCAACAAUGGGCCGAAUUACCAACGCGAUUUAAAAUGUUGUGAGAUACUCCUAUAUUGUGAGUAGUAUAUAGGAUUACCAAUAGUUUGAUUUUUU
Molecule: long non-coding RNA, 987 nt
Organism: Triticum dicoccoides
Lineage: Eukaryota; Viridiplantae; Streptophyta; Magnoliopsida; Poales; Poaceae
Exons: 4
Source: RefSeq, a predicted model, not a curated record